RNAcentral lists this ribosomal RNA (1066 nucleotides) under uncultured bacterium. RNAcentral describes it as "bacterial SSU rRNA". It matches the Rfam family "Bacterial small subunit ribosomal RNA", at positions 338 to 1397 of the family's 1533-position model. The record is from RNAcentral.
CCUACGGGAGGCAGCAGUGGGGAAUAUUGGACAAUGGGCGCAAGCCUGAUCCAGCAAUGCCGCGUGUGUGAAGAAGGCCUGCGGGUUGUAAAGCACUUUUGUUCGGGAAGAAAACGUGCCGGUUAAUACCCGGUAUGGAUGACGGUACCGAAAGAAUAAGCACCGGCUAACUUCGUGCCAGCAGCCGCGGUAAUACGAAGGGUGCAAGCGUUAAUCGGAAUUACUGGGCGUAAAGGGUGCGUAGGCGGCUUUUUAAGUCGGAUGUGAAAUCCCCGGGCUCAACCUGGGAAUGGCAUCCGAUACUGGGGAGCUAGAGUUUGGGAGAGGGUGGUGGAAUUUCCCGGUGUAGCGGUGAAAUGCGUAGAGAUCGGGAGGAACAUCAGUGGCGAAGGCGGGCCACCUGGCCUAAAACUGACGCUGAGGGCACGAAAGCGUGGGGGAGCAAACAGGAUUAGAUACCCUGGUAGUCCACGCCCUAAACGAUGUCAACUGGUUGUUGGGGUCUUCACUGACUCAGUAACGAAGCUAACGCGUGAAGUUGACCGCCUGGGGAGUACGGCCGCAAGGUUGAAACUCAAAGGAAUUGACGGGGGCCCGCACAAGCGGUGGAUGAUGUGGAUUAAUUCGAUGCAACGCGAAGAACCUUACCUACCCUUGACAUGCCAGGAAUCCCUGAGAGAUCAGGGAGUGCCCGAAAGGGAAUCUGGACACAGGUGCUGCAUGGCUGUCGUCAGCUCGUGUCGUGAGAUGUUGGGUUAAGUCCCGCAACGAGCGCAACCCUUGUCAUUAGUUGCUACGAAAGGGCACUCUAAUGAGACUGCCGGUGACAAACCGGAGGAAGGUGGGGAUGACGUCAAGUCCUCAUGGCCCUUAUAGGUGGGGCUACACACGCCAUACAAUGGCUGGUACAAAGGGUUGCCAACCCGCGAGGGGGAGCUAAUCCCAUAAAGCCAGUCGUAGUCCGGAUCGCAGUCUGCAACUCGACUGCGUGAAGUCGGAAUCGCUAGUAAUCGUGGAACAGCACGCCACGGUGAAUACGUUCCCGGGCCUUGUACACACCGCCCGU